AAAAGAAAUUGAAGAUUCUAAGAGCAAGUUUUCAUUCAAAUUUAAAUUAUUCGACUAUUGAAAAAACGAAAAAUGUGUAACAAAGAAAGUAGUCCAUUAUUUUUCUCUAUGUCAAUUUAUUUGUUCUAUUUAAUUUUGAUAUAUUUAAUAUGUGAUGUGUAAAGUUAAAAUAAACAAAUGAAACUUAAAAUAAAAUAAAAAAAUAAGAGAAACAAAUUAGUGACGGGGACGGCGGAGAUUGGGAGUUAUGUGAGAAGCUUUGUUGAGAUGAGUGGUAAAAAUUUUCAGAUGAUGACACGUAUAGGGAGGUGUGACGCGGACGGCGGAGAUUGGGAGAGGGAAGUAUAAGACGAGGUGUUAGACUUGUGUCGUUCCGGAAUUUGUAACGUAUAAACUGAAACGGCAUGAGAAAUUUUGGAUUUUUUUGGGGACCGAUAGGUGAGCUUGGUGUAAUAAUUAUUGUCUUGCUAAAAAACAAAAUUGGUUAAGGGCCCCCUUUAUUAUUAUUAUUUUUCAUUAUAAUUAUAUUAUUAAGAAAAAUGUUCAAAAUUGUCCUUGUCAUUUGUAAAAUAAAGAGAUAAUAUACUGUUGCUCUCCGUUUAAAGUUAAGGUCAAAUGUUCUCGCCCUUAUAAAACUGGCACAUAUUUUAUAUAUAUAUAUAAUAAUAUAUAGAAUUGUUAUAAAAUAAUAAAAAUAAAUAAAUAGGAAAAAGAAUUUCAAAGUUGUCCAUGUCACUUGUGAAAUAUCCAAAAGUUUGGUUUACUGAUUAUUUUAUGUUGCUUAUAUUAAUGACAUUUAUUUAAUGUAAAGAUACAUAUUUGAUCUUAGUUAAUUAAUUUUGAAAAAUCUUAAAUAUUCUUCUCUACUUAUUUCAAGUUAAAUAAUUUUUUAAUAUUUUUGAAGUGUUUGUGUAAAUUUGAAAAAUGCUUAUAAGCUAAAAUAAUUUAAAAAAAAAUCAAUUCAAAAAGACUUUUAAUAAUGAAAUCUUAUAUGAAGGUUAAUAAAAAUCCUAUACGUAAUCUACUGGUGAAUGAAGAAUAUUUACGGUUACCAUCUUUCAAAUUUCAUCAACAACCAUCAAGUAUUAUAUCUCACAUUAAACAAAUACCAAUGAUUAAUAUAAACAUACAUAAAAAUUAAAAUAACUUGUAAACCAAACAAGUAAAGAGACAGUUUUGGACAAUUUCGUAAAUCAUAGGGACAUUAUUAUUGAAUAUUUUGUCUAUUUUUUAAAUUAUUAUAUGACUUCUGUUAGCAGAGUUGGUAAAUGAGACGAAAUAUAUGUCAGUUUUGUAACGUCAAGAGUAUUAGUUGAUCCCAACUUUAAAUGAAUGGCAAGAAAAUAUAUAUUUUUUUACAAAUAAGAACUACUAUAUAUUAUGCAUAUAGCAUUCUGAACAACCGAGUAACUUAAGCUUUCCCUUUAGCAUCUUUCAAAAUCUCUUCCACAUGUUUGUUCCAAUCUAUAGCAUUAACAAAAGGCGAAGUCAGAAUUUUAACCUUAUGAGUUUUGAAUUUAU
Molecule: long non-coding RNA, 1521 nt
Filed under: Solanum tuberosum (potato)
Lineage: Eukaryota; Viridiplantae; Streptophyta; Magnoliopsida; Solanales; Solanaceae
Description: long non-coding RNA (STUB_LNC006567)
Source: RNAcentral